RNAcentral lists this ribosomal RNA (745 nucleotides) under Bacillus sp. HS-V4. RNAcentral describes it as "bacterial SSU rRNA". It matches the Rfam family "Bacterial small subunit ribosomal RNA", at positions 40 to 767 of the family's 1533-position model. Lineage: Bacteria; Bacillati; Bacillota; Bacilli; Caryophanales; Bacillaceae. The record is from RNAcentral.
GGGCGUGCUAUACAUGCAAGUCGAGCGGACCGACGGGAGCUUGCUCCCUUAGGUCAGCGGCGGACGGGUGAGUAACACGUGGGUAACCUGCCUGUAAGACUGGGAUAACUCCGGGAAACCGGGGCUAAUACCGGAUGCUUGAUUGAACCGCAUGGUUCAAUCAUAAAAGGUGGCUUUUAGCUACCACUUGCAGAUGGACCCGCGGCGCAUUAGCUAGUUGGUGAGGUAACGGCUCACCAAGGCGACGAUGCGUAGCCGACCUGAGAGGGUGAUCGGCCACACUGGGACUGAGACACGGCCCAGACUCCUACGGGAGGCAGCAGUAGGGAAUCUUCCGCAAUGGACGAAAGUCUGACGGAGCAACGCCGCGUGAGUGAUGAAGGUUUUCGGAUCGUAAAACUCUGUUGUUAGGGAAGAACAAGUACCGUUCGAAUAGGGCGGCACCUUGACGGUACCUAACCAGAAAGCCACGGCUAACUACGUGCCAGCAGCCGCGGUAAUACGUAGGUGGCAAGCGUUGUCCGGAAUUAUUGGGCGUAAAGCGCGCGCAGGCGGUUUCUUAAGUCUGAUGUGAAAGCCCCCGGCUCAACCGGGGAGGGUCAUUGGAAACUGGGGAACUUGAGUGCAGAAGAGGAGAGUGGAAUUCCACGUGUAGCGGUGAAAUGCGUAGAGAUGUGGAGGAACACCAGUGGCGAAGGCGACUCUCUGGUCUGUAACUGACGCUGAGGGCGCGAAAGCGUGGGGA